CCGGAGGCCAUUGCUAUCAGGGUUUGACUAAGCCAUGCGAGUCGAGAGGUGUAAGACCUCGGCAUACUGCUCAGUAACACGUGGUUAACCUGCCCUAAGGUGGAGAAUACUCCCGGGAAACUGGGGCUAAUGCUCCAUAGUGGAUAUGUCCUGGAAUGGUAUAUCCUCGAAAGAUCCGUCGCCUUAGGAUGGGACUGCGUCCGAUUAGGUUGUUGGCGGGGUAACGGCCCACCAAGCCUUUUAUCGGUACGGGUUGUGGGAGCAAGAUCCCGGAGAUGGAUUCUGAGACAUGAAUCCAGGCCCUACGGGGCGCAGCAGGCGCGCAAACUUUACAAUGCGAGCAAUCGUGAUAAGGAAACCCUGAGUGCCUGUCGAUGCAGGCUGUUCAUAUAUCUAAAUCAUAUGUGAAGAAAGGGCAGGGCAAGGCCGGUGCCAGCCGCCGCGGUAAUACCGGCUGCUCGAGUGAUGGCCACUAUUACUGGGUUUAAAGCGUCCGUAGCUUGACUGUUAGGUCUCUUGGGAAAUCUUCGCGCUCAACGUGAAGGCGUCUAAGAGAUACCGGCAGUCUUGGAACUGGGAGAGGUAAACCGUACUUCGGGGGUAGGAGUGAAAUCUUGUAAUCCUCGAGGGACGACCUAUGGCGAAGGCAGUUUACCAGAACAGCAUCGACAGUGAGGGACGAAAGCUGGGGGAGCAAACGGGAUUAGAUACCCCGGUAGUCCCAGCCGUAAACAAUGUGCGUUAGGUGUGUCGGUAA
RNAcentral lists this ribosomal RNA (757 nucleotides) under uncultured Methanocorpusculum sp. Its description in RNAcentral is "bacterial SSU rRNA". It matches the Rfam family "Archaeal small subunit ribosomal RNA", at positions 17 to 782 of the family's 1478-position model. The record is from RNAcentral. Lineage: Archaea; Methanobacteriati; Methanobacteriota; Methanomicrobia; Methanomicrobiales; Methanocorpusculaceae.